Molecule: ribosomal RNA, 253 nt
Filed under: uncultured bacterium
Lineage: Bacteria
Description: partial 16S ribosomal RNA
Rfam family: Bacterial small subunit ribosomal RNA
Source: RNAcentral
UACGUAGGGGGCGAGCGUUGUCCGGAAUUAUUGGGCGUAAAGAGCGUGUAGGCUGUUCGGUAAGUCUGCCGUGAAAACCUGAGGCUCAACCUCGGGCGUGCGGUGGAUACUGCCGGGCUAGAGGACGGUAGAGGCGAGUGGAAUUCCCGGUGUAGCGGUGAAAUGCGCAGAUAUCAGGAGGAACACCGGUGGCGAAGGCGGGUCUCUGGGCCGAUACUGACGCUGAGGAGCGAAAGCGUGGGGAGCGAACAGG